ACGAACGCUGGCGGCGUGCUUAGCACAUGCCAGUCGAACGGAAAGGCCCUGCUUUUGUGGGGUGCUCGAGUGGCGAACGGGUGAGUAACACGUGAGUAACCUGCCCUUGACUUUGGGAUAACUUCAGGAAACUGGGGCUAAUACCGGAUAGGAGCUCCUGCUGCAUGGUGGGGGUUGGAAAGUUUCGGCGGUUGGGGAUGGACUCGCGGCUUAUCAGCUUGUUGGUGGGGUAGUGGCUUACCAAGGCUUUGACGGGUAGCCGGCCUGAGAGGGUGACCGGCCACAUUGGGACUGAGAUACGGCCCAGACUCCUACGGGAGGCAGCAGUGGGGAAUAUUGCACAAUGGGCGGAAGCCUGAUGCAGCAACGCCGCGUGCGGGAUGACGGCCUUCGGGUUGUAAACCGCUUUCGCCUGUGACGAAGCGUGAGUGACGGUAAUGGGUAAAGAAGCACCGGCUAACUACGUG
RNAcentral lists this ribosomal RNA (467 nucleotides) under uncultured bacterium. Its description in RNAcentral is "partial 16S ribosomal RNA". It matches the Rfam family "Bacterial small subunit ribosomal RNA", at positions 29 to 507 of the family's 1533-position model. The record is from RNAcentral.